GUAGGGAAUAUUGGGCAAUGGAGGCAACUCUGACCCAGCCAUGCCGCGUGCAGGAUGACGGCCCUCUGGGUUGUAAACUGCUUUUAUACGGGAAGAAAAAAUACUACGUGUAGUAUACUGACGGUACCGUAAGAAUAAGGAUCGGCUAACUCCGUGCCAGCAGCCGCGGUAAUACGGAGGAUCCAAGCGUUGUCCGGAUUUAUUGGGUUUAAAGGGUGCGUAGGCGGAUCUUUAAGUCAGUGGUGAAAGCCUGCAGCUUAACUGUAGAAUUGCCAUUGAAACUGAAGAGCUUGAAUGUGGUUAAAGUAGGCGGAAUGUAUCAUGUAGCGGUGAAAUGCUUAGAUAUGAUACAGAACACCGAUAGCGAAGGCAGCUUGCUGAACCAUUAUUGACGCUGAGGCACGAAAGCGUGGGGAGCGAACAGGAUUAGAAACCCGUGUAGUCC
RNAcentral lists this ribosomal RNA (445 nucleotides) under uncultured bacterium. RNAcentral describes it as "partial 16S ribosomal RNA". It matches the Rfam family "Bacterial small subunit ribosomal RNA", at positions 354 to 796 of the family's 1533-position model. The record is from RNAcentral.